Molecule: ribosomal RNA, 261 nt
Filed under: uncultured archaeon
Lineage: Archaea
Description: partial 16S ribosomal RNA
Rfam family: Archaeal small subunit ribosomal RNA
Source: RNAcentral
AGGGUGUAAACGCUGCAGACUUGGUGUUGGAAGUCCUUUGGGGGCAUUCAGUGCCGGAGAGAAGUUGUUAAGUCUGCUACUUGGGGAGUACGUCCGCAAGGAUGAAACUUAAAGGAAUUGGCGGGGGAGCACCGCAACGGGAGGAGCGUGCGGUUUAAUUGGAUUCAACGCCGUAAAACUCACCAGGGAAGACUGUUACAUGAAAGCCGAGAUGAAGACUCUGCUAGAUUUUCAGAGAGGAGGUGCAUGGCGUCAGUGACU